This 1389-nucleotide ribosomal RNA is filed under the name human oral metagenome. RNAcentral describes it as "bacterial LSU rRNA". It matches the Rfam family "Bacterial large subunit ribosomal RNA", at positions 596 to 1998 of the family's 2925-position model. The record is from RNAcentral.
AGAGCGUGCCUUUUGUAGAAUGAACCGGCGAGUUACGUUAUGAUGCGAGGUUAAGUUGAAGAGACGGAGCCGUAGGGAAACCGAGUCUGAAUAGGGCGACUUAGUAUCAUGAUGUAGACCCGAAACCUAGUGACCUAUCCAUGAGCAGGGUGAAGGUGUGGUAAGACGCACUGGAGGCCCGAACCAGGACACGUUGAAAAGUGUUUGGAUGACUUGUGGAUAGCGGAGAAAUUCCAAACGAACUGGGAGAUAGCUGGUUCUCUCCGAAAUAGCUUUAGGGCUAGCGUCGAAAUGUAAGUGUAUUGGAGGUAGAGCACUGUUUGGGUGAGGGGUCCGUCUAGGAUUACCAAUCUCAGAUAAACUCCGAAUGCUAAUACACAUGUUCGGCAGUCAGACUGCGAGUGCUAAGAUCCGUAGUCGAAAGGGAAACAGCCCAGACCAACAGCUAAGGUCCCAAAAUAUAUGUUAAGUGGAAAAGGAUGUGGGGUUGCACAGACAACUAGGAUGUUAGCUCAGAAGCAGCUAUCAUUCAAAGAGUGCGUAAUAGCUCACUAGUCGAGUGACCCUGCGCCGAAAAUGUACCGGGGCUAAACAUAUUACCGAAGCUUUGGAUUGAUAUUUUAUCAAUGGUAGGAGAGCGUUCUUAACCGCGAUGAAGGUAUACCGUGAGGAGUGCUGGAGCGUUAAGAAGUGAGAAUGCCGGUAUGAGUAGCGCAAGAUAAGUGAGAAUCUUAUCCACCGUAAGACUAAGGUUUCCAGGGGAAGGCUCGUCCGCCCUGGGUUAGUCGGGACCUAAGGCGAGGCCGAAAGGCGUAGUCGAUGGACAACUGGUUGAUAUUCCAGUACUAGAUAUGAUCGUGAUGGAGGGACGCAGUAGGCUAAGAGAUGCCAGUUAAUGGAUUCUGGUCUAAGCAGUGAGGUGUGAGAUGUGUCAAAUGCAUUUCUCUCUAACAUUGAGCUGUGAUGGGGAAGCAACUACGGUUGCGAACUCUCUGAUGUCACACUGCCAAGAAAAGCUUCUAGCGUAAAGUCAUAUCUACCCGUACCGCAAACCGACACAGGUAGUCGAGGCGAGUAGCCUCAGGUGAUCGAGAGAACUCUCGUUAAGGAACUCGGCAAAAUAGCCCCGUAACUUCGGGAGAAGGGGUGCUGGUGUAAAAGCCAGCCGCAGUGAAUAGGCCCAAGCAACUGUUUAUCAAAAACACAGCUCUCUGCUAAACCGCAAGGUGAUGUAUAGGGGGUGACGCCUGCCCGGUGCUGGAAGGUUAAGAGGAGUGCUUAGACGUAAGUCGAAGGUAUGAAUUGAAGCCCCAGUAAACGGCGGCCGUAACUAUAACGGUCCUAAGGUAGCGAAAUUCCUUGUCGGGUAAGUUCCGACCCGCACGAAAG